UUUCCGUAGGUGAACCUGCGGAAGGAUCAUUAAUAAAUGGUCUACGUUUUUUAAGUAGACGCUUAAUAAUCCUACCUUGUGAAUUUGUUGUUUUGAAAUAAUUUUUUUUUAAAUUAUUGAUUGUCUUUCCUGUUGAAUUGGUUGUCUUAAUGCAAAUGAUUCGCAGGGAGUGUCAGUAUUUUUAAAAAGACCUUUUUUAAAUUAAACUUUUUGUAUUCAUUUGUCUAAAAUUAUUUUUAUAAUAUAAAAACAACUUUUGACAAUGGAUCUCUUGGUUCUCGCAACGAUGAAGAACGCAGCAAAAUGCGAUAAGUAGUGUGAAUUGCAGAAUACGUGAAUCAUCGAAUCUUCGAACGCAUAUUGCACUUUUUAGUUUACUAAAAAAGUAUGUCUGUUUGAGUAUCAGUAAAAUAUUCUCAUAAAAACUUUUUGUUUUUAUGGUUAUGAGUGUUUUACAACGAUACAAGUUGUUUCACUUUAAAUUUUUUUAAAUUUGAAUUUUUCUAAUUUUAAAAUAAAAUUGGAUAAAAUUUUCCCGUAAAAAAGGAAUAACCUAAAACAAUUUAAUUUUUGAUUAGAAAUCUCAAUUAUAAAGGAAAUUUAACUAAAUAACUUGAUCUCAAAUCAGAUAAGAGUACCGUGAACUUAAGCAUAUCAAUAACGGAGGAAAAGAAACUAACAAGGAUUCCUUAGUAACGGCGAGUGAAGCGGGAAGAGCUCAAUUUGAAAUCUUCAAGGUUUUACCUUGACGAAUUGUAGUUUAAAGAAGUGUCUUCUGUUGAAGUUUUGGUAAAGUUCUUUGAAUAGGACAUCAUAGAGGUGAGAAUCCGUAUUUGACAUUAUUUUCAGCUGUGUGAUACACUUUCAAAGAGUCGAUUGUUUGGGAAUGCAGUCCAAAAUGGGUGGUAAAUUUCAUCUAAAGCUAAAUAUUGGCGAGAGACCGAUAGCGAACAAGUACCGUGAGGAAAGAUGAAAGAACUUUGAAAAGAGAGUUAAACAGUACGUGAAAUUGUCAAAAGGAAGCGUUUGACACCAGUGUUGUUUCUCGAAAAUCAAUUAAAAAAAGUUGGAUUUUGUGUUGUAUGACUUACAGCUUGCUUCACUCUUUUCUUGCUUUUUUUAAUGCACCUUUCGUUUACAAGUCAACAUCAGUUUCUUUGUUGUAAAAGGUCAUUGGAAGGUGGCUUUCUCUUCGGAGAAAGUGUUAUAGCCUUUGAUCUCUGCAAUCGGAGAGACUGAGGUCUGCAGCGUAGAUCUUCGGGUUAGAUACAUUUGUGCUAAGCUACAGUUUUCAUAGACAAUUGUUGACUAUGUUUAGUCUUGUAACUUACCCGCUUAUGCUAUUU
This 1346-nucleotide unclassified non-coding RNA is filed under the name uncultured Neocallimastigales. RNAcentral describes it as "partial contains small subunit ribosomal RNA, internal transcribed spacer 1, 5.8S ribosomal RNA, internal transcribed spacer 2, and large subunit ribosomal RNA". The stretch from base 615 to 1346 matches the Rfam family "Eukaryotic large subunit ribosomal RNA", at positions 1 to 617 of the family's 3401-position model. Lineage: Eukaryota; Fungi; Neocallimastigomycota; Neocallimastigomycetes; Neocallimastigales. The record is from RNAcentral.